This 1900-nucleotide ribosomal RNA is filed under the name human metagenome. Its description in RNAcentral is "bacterial LSU rRNA". It matches the Rfam family "Bacterial large subunit ribosomal RNA", at positions 977 to 2925 of the family's 2925-position model. The record is from RNAcentral.
UCAGGAGUCAGACUGCGGGAGCUAAGUUCCGUGGUCAAAAGGGAAAGAGCCCAGACCGACAAUUAAGGUCCCAAAGAUAUAGUUAAGUGGGAAACGAUGUGAAUUUGCGUAAACAACCAGGAUGUUGGCUCAGAAGCAGCCAUUCAUUCAAAGAGUGCGUAACAGCUCACUGGUCGAGUGAAUUUGCGCGGAAAAUUACCGGGGCUAAACUAUACACCGAAAUUUCGGAUUUACGUAUGAAAAUAUGUAAGUGGUAGAGGAGCAUUCUGUAGUAGGACGAAGUCAAAGCGAAAGCAUUGGUGGACGAGGCAGAAGAGAGAAUGCUGGAAUAAGUAGCGAGAGCAAGGUGAGAAUCCUUGCCGUCGAAAGUCUAAGGUUUCCUGGGGAAGGUUCGUCCGCCCAGGGUAAGUCGGGACCUAAGGUGAGGCUGAAAAGCGUAGCCGAUGGAUAGCAGGUUGAGAUUCCUGCACUAUAGAUAUACUUAAAAGAUGCAAGGGACGCAGGAGUGGAAGAUAAGCGAGGAAGAGGAAAGACUCGUAUCGCAAGAUAUAGUGAAAAUAAAGUAACGAAUUAUCAAGAAGCACACUGACGAGAAAAGCUUGUAGAUAUUGUAUAUAAAUACCCGUACCGCAAACCGACACAGGUAGAUGAGGAGAGGAUCCUAAGACGAGCGGGAGAAGCAUUGUUAAGGAACUCGGCAAAAUAACCCCGUAACUUCGGGAGAAGGGGAACCUAAGUAAAAUUAGGUCGCAGAGAAAAGGCCCAAGCAACUGUUUAACAAAAACACAGGUUUCUGCAAAAUCGAAAGAUGAAGUAUAGGAGCUGACGCCUGCCCAGUGCUGGAAGGUUAAGGGAAAGAGUUAGAUGUAAGUCGAAGCUUAGAACUAAAGCCCCAGUGAACGGCGGCCGUAACUAUAACGGUCCUAAGGUAGCGAAAUUCCUUGUCAGGUAAGUUCUGACCCGCACGAAAGGCGUAAUGAUUUGGGCACUGUCUCGACAAUGUACCCGGCGAAAUUGUAGUACUAGUGAAGAUGCUAGUUACCUGCGACAAGACAGAAAGACCCCAUGGAGCUUUACUGCAGUUUGAUACUGGGUUUCGAUAAGUUAUGUACAGGAUAGGUGGGAGACAAAGAAAGAAAGGCGUCAGCUUUUCCGGAGUCACCGUUGGGAUACCACCCUUAAUUUGUUGGAAUUCUAACUAGUGGUCAUGAUCUGGCCAGAGGACAAUGUCAGACGGGCAGUUUGACUGGGGCGGUCGCCUCCAAAAGAGUAACGGAGGCGCCCAAAGGUUCCCUCAGUGCGGACAGAAAUCGCACGAAAGAGUGUAAAGGCAGAAGGGAGCUUAACUGGAAGAUAGACAUAUCGAGCAGAUACGAAAGUAGGGCUUAGUGAUCCGGUGGAUAUUGAAUGGAAAAGCCAUCGCUCAACGGACAAAAGUUACCCUGGGGAUAACAGGCUUAUCUCCCCCAAGAGUUCACAUCGACGGGGAGGUUUGGCACCUCGAUGUCGGCUCAUCGCAUCCUGGAGCGGAAGUACGUUCCAAGGGUUGGGCUGUUCGCCCAUUAAAGCGGUACGCGAGCUGGGUUCAGAACGUCGUGAGACAGUUCGGUCCUUAUCUGUCGCAGGCGGAAGAUAUUUGAGAGGAGCUGUCCUUAGUACGAGAGGACCAGGAUGGACAUACCGAUGGUGUAUCAGUUGUCACACCAGUGGCACGGCUGAGUAGCCAAGUAUGGACGGGAUAAACGCUGAAAGCAUCUAAGUGUGAAGCCCACCUCAAGAUAAGAUAUCUCAUAUCGUAAGAUAGUAAGAUUCCAUAAAGACUAUGUGGUUGAUAGGUUGGAGGUGUAAGUACAGUAAUGUAUUGAGCUGACCAAUACUAAUAAAUCGAGGGCUUAACCAC